GACGAACGCUGGCGGCGUGCUUAACACAUGCAAGUCGAACGGAAAGGCCCUGCUUGCAGGGUACUCGAGUGGCGAACGGGUGAGUAACACGUGGGUGAUCUGCCCUGCACUUCGGGAUAAGCCUGGGAAACUGGGUCUAAUACCGGAUAGGAGCCAUUUUUAGUGUGAUGGUUGGAAAGUUUUUUCGGUGUAGGAUGAGCUCGCGGCCUAUCAGCUUGUUGGUGGGGUAAUGGCCUACCAAGGCGGCGACGGGUAGCCGGCCUGAGAGGGUGGACGGCCACAUUGGGACUGAGAUACGGCCCAGACUCCUACGGGGGGCAGCAGUGGGGAAUAUUGCACAAUGGGCGCAAGCCUGAUGCAGCGACGCCGCGUGGGGGAGGACGGCCUUCGGGUUGGAAACUCCUUUCGCUAGGGACGAAGCUUUUUGUGACGGUACCUAGAUAAGAAGCACCGGCUAACUACGUG
RNAcentral lists this ribosomal RNA (465 nucleotides) under uncultured bacterium. RNAcentral describes it as "partial 16S ribosomal RNA". It matches the Rfam family "Bacterial small subunit ribosomal RNA", at positions 28 to 507 of the family's 1533-position model. The record is from RNAcentral.